CAGUAGCGCGGUAAUACGAAGGGUGCAAGCGUUACUCGGAAUUACUGGGCGUAAAGCGUGCGUAGGUGGUGGUUUAAGUCCGUUGUGAAAGCCCUGGGCUCAACCUGGGAAUUGCAGUGGAUACUGGGUCACUAGAGUGUGGUAGAGGAUAGUGGAAUUUCCGGUGUAGCAGUGAAAUGCGUAGAGAUCGGAAGGAACAUCUGUGGCGAAGGCGACUAUCUGGGCCAACACUGACACUGAGGCACGAAAGCGUGGGGAGCAAACAGGAUUAGAUACCCCGGUAGUCCCUGUCUCUUAUACA
Molecule: ribosomal RNA, 301 nt
Filed under: uncultured bacterium
Lineage: Bacteria
Description: partial 16S ribosomal RNA
Rfam family: Bacterial small subunit ribosomal RNA
Source: RNAcentral